GCUAGCCUGUGGUGGGUGUGCAGCUCUAAAAAUGCAUAGUAUUUGAAACUCCAUGUUUGAACAGAAAUAUAAUAGCUGAUCGAUCUAUAUAGUCAAACACAGAUUUGUCAAUUAUGCAUGCAACUUUGUUGGAAUCCUUGCGCACUACAAGCACAGAUACAGAAAUUGAGUGACUACCUUGAUGUUUCACCUAGCUACCCUAUUGUUUAUGAGAUUCGAGCAUAUUGAUAAUGGCAAUAAUGAAGGGAUCAUCGAUGUUUUUGGCAUUGAGUUGGAUUUCUGUGAUGCUGCCAACUCAGAGAAAGAGGUCAUCGAGCUGCUAGACAUGCUCGAUUGGAAGUGAAGGGCUGGGUAGUUGCUUUCUAGUCUGAACACCUUGCUGCUGAAGAUCAAAUCUGACCUGGUUGGUGUUGGUUCUUUCGAAUCCAAAGUUUGUAUAUAUGUUCCUGUCAAUGGUCAAUAAGUAUCCUGGAAAGCUUUUGAUAUUGAUCUCUAUCUCUUGUUUGUAACAUGCCGAACUCUUCCCUUGGCCUCCUCAUUCCAUUUCUACACAUUUCCUCCACCAAUCUAAGGUGCUCGCCCUAUACCUGUCUCUCUCUCUCUCUCUUUCAAGUAUCUGACUUGUAUUCAUCGAAUGAAGAGUGGUUGCGCUCAGAGAUUAUUGUUGCUUCGGGUUAAUUGCUUGCCGGAGCAGACCACUAUAGAAAUUGAAGAAAACUCUGAGACCCACCUGCAAUAGGAGGAAAGAAAGAAGAGAUGAGGGCAAGAUAGAAAAGAAAGGAAAACAAAUGCAGGAGAGAGGAAAAAAUAAAAGAGCAUAAAGAAGAAGAGAUCAAAUGUUUUAGAGAGGAGGAGUUCUGAGGCGGCAGAGUUCUGAGGAGAAAAGGAAAAGAAAAGAAGUGAACCCUAGCAACUCACCAAGUAUUGAGAUUAUCACGAUCGGAAGAGAACAACCAAAACACAAAACACCGUCGUGGCACUUGUCCAGGAAACACGCACAAUCCAUGUGAGAGGACGACCAAGACGAAGCCGAACCAGAGAGCCUUUCGGCUCAUAAACCCAAGCAACACAAAAAAAAAAGGAGAAAACACAGAGUCAAUGAAGAAACGAGCUACGAAAAAAGGAGUACCAGGAAAAAAUGUAGAAAAACAGAGCAGCUGGGCGAAAAAGUUUCAACGCCGGGGGACGAAUCUCUCAGAAGCAAAACAACAAUUUCCUUUACCCUACAACAGCGCUCAAGUAAUUAGAAAAAAAUAAGACUAAAUAUUAGCUUGGUAAAGGCCGGGGGAAUAGGUAAUCAGAUCCAACCACUAAUAGAGCUAAUGCUGAACAAAGGAAAAGGAAGAAGACCUGGGAGAGAAAGCAGCAAGGCGAAUAAUGCUGGGAGAGUAAAAGGCUGAAGAGAAUAAUGCUGAGAGAAUAAGCUCGAACCCAUUAAUGCUCCGGCUGAAAAGCUAA
Molecule: long non-coding RNA, 1458 nt
Filed under: Coffea arabica (coffee)
Lineage: Eukaryota; Viridiplantae; Streptophyta; Magnoliopsida; Gentianales; Rubiaceae
Description: long non-coding RNA (CARA_LNC007532)
Source: RNAcentral